UACGUAGGGGGCAAGCGUUGUCCGGAUUCAUUGGGCGUAAAGAGCGUGUAGGCGGCCAGGUAGGUCGGCUGUGAAAACUGGAGGCUCAACCCCUAGACGUCGAUGGAAACCAUCUGGCUAGAGUCCGGAAGAGGAGAGUGGAAUUCCUGGUGUAGCGGUGAAAUGCGCAGAUAUCAGGAAGAACACCCGUGGCGAAGGCGGCUCUCUGGGACGGUACUGACGCUGAGACGCGAAAGCGUGGGGAGCGAACAGG
This 253-nucleotide ribosomal RNA is filed under the name uncultured bacterium. RNAcentral describes it as "partial 16S ribosomal RNA". It matches the Rfam family "Bacterial small subunit ribosomal RNA", at positions 524 to 776 of the family's 1533-position model. The record is from RNAcentral.